This 634-nucleotide long non-coding RNA is filed under the name Gallus gallus (chicken). RNAcentral describes it as "lncRNA (ENSGALG00010007406.1)". Lineage: Eukaryota; Metazoa; Chordata; Aves; Galliformes; Phasianidae. The record is from RNAcentral.
GAGGCACUGGCACAGGUUACACAGGCAGAUGGUGGACACCCUGUCCCUGGACACAUCCAAGAUCAGGCUGGAUGGGGCUCUGAGUACCUGAUCAAUCUCCCCAUGGAAUGCUGCAUCCUGGCUGCCCAGAACUGGUCCUGAGCGUCAGCACAAAGCCCUGUGACCACACUUAAUCCCAAACCAGGGAUGACAAUCCGGGUCAAAACCAUUCAGUUCGUCAGCAAGAAAACAUCUCCAUUGGGAAAGGCAUCUUGGAAGGGAGAGGCCCCACAACAGAAGGAAGAAAAUCUGUCGUUGCAGGAAUAAACAGCGACUCAAACCACAGACGAGAUUCUUGGAGCAUGGGAACAGAUGGAUUUAAAGAUAUGAAACAUCAUCUGAAUUCUUCUGAUGCUGGUUCAGACUGAUACUUGGGAAAUGAUUAGUAACAAACUGGUAUGGCAGACCUGUCUUCCAUCAGCUCACCUUCACGAUCCGGGCACUAACUCUGUCAGAUAUUUCUUCAUGCUUAUAUUCACAGGCAUGCAACCAAGCUGGUGAAAAAGAUAUAUUACAGGGGAAAGAGUUUGGUGGAAAUUCAUUCUUCCCCUUCCCUUCCCUUCCCUUCCCUUCCCUUCCCUUCCCUUCCCUUCCC